RNAcentral lists this ribosomal RNA (253 nucleotides) under uncultured bacterium. RNAcentral describes it as "partial 16S ribosomal RNA". It matches the Rfam family "Bacterial small subunit ribosomal RNA", at positions 524 to 776 of the family's 1533-position model. The record is from RNAcentral.
UACGAAGGGGGCUAGCGUUGUUCGGAAUUACUGGGCGUAAAGCGCACGUAGGCGGAUAUUUAAGUCAGGGGUGAAAUCCCGCAGCUCAACUGCGGAACUGCCUUUGAUACUGGGUAUCUUGAGUAUGGAAGAGGUUAGUGGAAUUGCGAGUGUAGAGGUGAAAUUCGUAGAUAUUCGGAGGAACACCAGUGGCGAAGGCGGCUCACUGGUCCGGUACUGACGCUGAGGUGCGAAAGCGUGGGGAGCAAACAGG